Molecule: long non-coding RNA, 2741 nt
Filed under: Phoenix dactylifera (date palm)
Lineage: Eukaryota; Viridiplantae; Streptophyta; Magnoliopsida; Arecales; Arecaceae
Description: long non-coding RNA (PDAC_LNC002954)
Source: RNAcentral
UGAUGGGGGAAUGCAAAUGAAACAUUAUUGGGUCAGAAUAAUGGAUAAUAAUUUCAUGUGUGCUUGUACUAAAAUUAACUAACCAAUAUGCAACUCAAUUAGUUUCUCCAUAAGGGUGAGAACCUCUCUAUUAAGUUAAACUAUUCUUCCAAAGCUAAAUGUUAAGCAAGCAGGACAUCGAUGAUGUUAUGUUAUCAUAGUCUAUUCGUUAGAUAUACAUUAGUUGUUUUGUACCGUUUUUAUCUAACAUUUUUUUUAUAAAGCCUAAGAAAAAUCUAAGUUCUUGAAUUAUAUUUUAUUUUUCUCUAUGUGCAUAGUGUACUGGAAUAUCGCACAUGCAAUAUAUGUAUGUUUUCUGAUAAUAAAGUCUAUUUAAAUAAAUAAAUAAAAUGUUAGAGCAACAAUCGGAGACUUUUAUCUCAUGACAUGUUGUAAGCAAUGUGCAGUGAGUAAUACAUAUAAUAGCAUAUAGGAUGGAAAUAUGUGGCUGAAAAUGGUGGACAAUUAGAUAUGUCUUAUGCAUGAUUAUGCUAGAGGAGUCAUUAUUAUAUAAUAAAAUAUAUAGUGAUAAACUAAAUGAUAAGGAGAGCCUAAUGGCAAGAGUUAUCAUUCUUUUUUUUUCUCCUAUUCUUUUAAGACAAUGAAAGAGGAAAAAAGAGAGAGAGACCCACCCAUGAGAUAAUACCUAAGUCCGAUAUAAGUUGUUAACAUUCUUACAAGUUGAGCAAGACCGAGCAAAUUCAAAAUUCUAAAUAUUUCAUAGCAAACCUAAGCUUAAGUUCUCAAGGCAAGCUUGGUGAAGCUUGAUUAACCCCUCUAAAGAAAAGAAAAGUAGAAGAAAAACACAUGCAAAGGGGGGCUGUAGUGUCCAACCACUUAACGUAUUGGUUAAUUUAUUUUUCAUUUCAAGUCAUACAUUACAUAUUAAAUAAAAUGUACGAUAUACCUGUUCUAGACUACUUUAUGUAUUUUAAAAGAAAGAACGAGCCCACCUCAAAAAUUUAGAAAAUUAUUUUCCGUCUUGUAAAGGGCUAGUCUCUCAUCCUAAACGGACUAAUUUGCAUGUAUAGUUCUUUUAUAAUCCUAGCUUUCCACCCUUAUAAAUCUCAUCUAAAUCUAUAGUAAGCUGAGUGAUAAAAAGGGGAUACUAAAUUAAAUUUCAAAUUUUAUAAGGGACCUCCAAAGUAUGUAAAAAUAGAACUCCUAAGAUCUUGAGAGGUUGAACCACAUAUUUUUCCGUUUCUAAAAUGCACUUUAGGCCAAGCAUGCAAUUACAUAUGGAAAGCACACAAAAUCUACGGUGCAAAUAUUUUUGGUGCAUAAAUAAGAUAAAAAAAGGUUUUUACUGGAUGUUUUUUUUUCUUUGAAAUACUUAAAAUUGCUAGGGAAGAGUUUCAAACAUGAAUGAAGUUAGAAAAAACUCAGACAUAAAAGGGAGAGAGGAGGAGAAAUUAGCUGAUAGUUUCUUACUUUCUCACAACUAUUUUCUCAUGUUUAAAUCUUAGGUGAUCCUGAUCAGAGACCCAACCAGAUCCAAAACCCAACACUUAUAAGGUUUUGAGGUCUUAAAAAGUUUACAUUUAGUUUUGCCUAUCAUGCUAAUUUUUUCUAAAUUCACAAUAAUAGCAUUUAUUUAUUCUAUAUUUUAUUUGUUAAUGGCCUGUCAUAGGACAUUAAAUCAAGUCAAAAUUAACUGUGUUGCGCCCCGAGCCUAGAGCGCAACAGACACCACAUACCUGUAUGGCAGACCAUACAGACAUACAAGGCUACAGAUCAUAUCAAAGCAAUAAUCAAACUUGAAAAUUUAUUUAAUCAACAUCUUAUUCAAAUGGUUCUUACAAUAGUUCCAAAAUAACAUAAGUCAACAUAUGCUAACUACUAACAUGAGUCAAAUAAAAUGUUCUAACUAGAGUGAUUAAUGCUCCAAUGACUGGAAGUGUCUUCGCAAAAACUAGCGCACUUUCUAAAUCCCAAGCAAUCAUGCAUCCGGACCUGAAAAACAGAAAAAACAUAAUAAUGAGCAACACUAGCCCAGUAAGCAACAUAAUAUCGUAAAGUGAGGUUGAAGCAUGCCACAUAAUUUAGUUAGAAGCACAAAAUACUGACAGGAAAAUAAAUCAUUUCUCAAAUAAUGCAUUUUUUUUUUGAAAUAUUCUAUAGUUUUCACAGAAAAUAUUAGAGACUAGAUAUCGGAAAUAAGAAAUUAGAUGUCAAAAUUAGGUUAUAGCCACGUAAUCUAAUGGCAUGAAUUACAUAAAGUGCCAAAAAUUAUUAUUUUUAAUCACCGGCGGUCUUCCUAAAACUGUUAUUUUAGUCACCCACCCCUACUUGGAGACUUUCCUGGAAACAUGUCUUCCCGAGUCUCUCUCAAAGUACCAUGCACCUCUACGAUUCCGAGUAGCAACAUCACAAAUGCCAAGGGCCAUCAACAGUUUUAGAUGGUGGUUUUGUCAUGGCGGUGAAAAUCGAACUCUUCCCAAAUGCCAAGGACCCUCGGAAGCUUGAACUUGGCAAGUUGCUAUGUCACUGCAUUGUAUUGACCUUUAUCUCUAAUUGGCUCAAAAUAUGUUGUAAUUGCUCUGAAUGACCUGCUAUACCAUGGUGUCCCACUUUGCUCCUCCUCACCUCUCCAAAUUUCUGAACUGGUAGAAUUAGUAAAUGUUGGGGAAAAACCCAAGUCGUCCCGGAACGAAGGCGCCCGACCAGGGAGCGCCGACCAGAAGGCGCCCGACCAGGAAGNN